RNAcentral lists this ribosomal RNA (253 nucleotides) under uncultured bacterium. Its description in RNAcentral is "partial 16S ribosomal RNA". It matches the Rfam family "Bacterial small subunit ribosomal RNA", at positions 524 to 776 of the family's 1533-position model. The record is from RNAcentral.
UACAGAGGUCUCAAGCGUUGUUCGGAUUCAUUGGGCGUAAAGGGUGUGUAGGUGGCGCGCUAAGUCGGGUGUGAAAUCUCGGGGCUUAACUCCGAAACUGCAUUCGAUACUGGCGUGCUUGAGGACUGGAGAGGAGACUGGAAUUCAUGGUGUAGCAGUGAAAUGCGUAGAGAUCAUGAGGAAGACCAGUGGCGAAGGCGGGUCUCUGGACAGUUCCUGACACUGAGGCGCGACAGCGUGGGGAGCAAACAGG